Molecule: ribosomal RNA, 468 nt
Filed under: uncultured bacterium
Lineage: Bacteria
Description: partial 16S ribosomal RNA
Rfam family: Bacterial small subunit ribosomal RNA
Source: RNAcentral
GACGAACGCUGGCGGCGUGCUUAACACAUGCAAGUCGAACGGAAAGACCCUGCUUUUGUGGGGUGCUCGAGUGGCGAACGGGUGAGUAACACGUGAGUAACCUGCCCUUGACUUUGGGAUAACUUCAGGAAACUGGGGCUAAUACCGGAUAGGAGCUCCUGCUGCAUGGUGGGGGUUGGAAAGUUUCGGCGGUUGGGGAUGGACUCGCGGCUUAUCAGCUUGUUGGUGGGGUAGUGGCUUACCAAGGCUUUGACGGGUAGCCGGCCUGAGAGGGUGACCGGCCACAUUGGGAUUGAGAUACGGCCCAGACUCCUACGGGAGGCAGCAGUGGGGAAUAUUGCACAAUGGGCGGAAGCCUGAUGCAGCAACGCCGCGUGCGGGAUGACGGCCUUCGGGUUGUAAACCGCUUUCGCCUGUGACGAAGCGUGAGUGACGGUAAUGGGUAAAGAAGCACCGGCUAACUACGUG